Molecule: small nucleolar RNA, 135 nt
Organism: Salvelinus sp. IW2-2015
Lineage: Eukaryota; Metazoa; Chordata; Actinopteri; Salmoniformes; Salmonidae
Product: small nucleolar RNA SNORA84
Exons: 1
Source: RefSeq, a predicted model, not a curated record
ACCUUGUGGUUCCUAGAGACGGCUGGACCGUGCUGAUCUGUGGGUUUUGAUUGACGGGCAAAUAUUAACGUCUGCGAUUUAUGCGUGGGAGCUACCACUUCAAGUAACUUCCUUAGCCCAGUUGUUGAGACAUUC